This 215-nucleotide non-coding RNA is filed under the name Paramoeba aestuarina. The record is from RNAcentral. Lineage: Eukaryota; Discosea; Flabellinia; Dactylopodida; Paramoebidae.
AAAAAGAAAAAAAAGAAAAAGAGAAAAGAGGGAGAAGGAGGAAAAUGGGGAAAGAAGUUACACGCUCUUCUUCUCUGGAACCUGAACAAGCUCCCCCAGAAUCUUCCCCUUUUUCUUCUUCCGCUUCUCCUUUUUCUUCUUCGUCUUCUUCCUCUUUUUCUGCUUCUGCUUCUGCUUCUGCUUCCAAGAAAAGGAAAGAAAAAAGAAAGAGUUUA